This is a long non-coding RNA of Glycine soja, 2268 nucleotides long. RefSeq lists it as uncharacterized. The transcript is spliced from 4 exons. The record is from RefSeq and is a predicted model, not a curated record. NCBI's taxonomy places the organism in Eukaryota, Viridiplantae, Streptophyta, Magnoliopsida, Fabales, Fabaceae.
AACAAAUACAUACACAUUCUCACUUUGUAUCACUCAAAGACCGUCACUUUUCUUUCACAUUUUCCACUCACCCAACUAGUGCCCAACUCGUACAUCACACAAGAACCAAGUUAGACAACAUUGAACCAAGAUUGCCAAGUCACAUGUGUGAACUUUGAACCCUUAGCCUAUAACCAAAGUACCUUCCAAACCAACAAUGGCUAUUAUAAUAAGGUAUGUGUGCAUUGGGAUAUACCUAUAAUUGAUCCAUUAAAAUACCAAGCAGAAAAAAAAGGAACAAAAAUAAAUAGAAUGGAGAAAGCAAAACAAAAACACAGUCCUUCCCCAUCCCCAUGUUAUGCAUUGCAAUACUAACUCUAACCCAUGGAGCCCUCAACGACAUUGCAAUUGGAGGAGUGAUAAAUAACGUCUCCAUUGCCACAUAAGCCUUCUACUUUCUCUUUCUAGAAGCAAAGAGAGAGAGAAGAAUUCACUACAAGAAUUAAACAAAGAAUCUAAGUUACAAGAGAAAGUUGUGUCAUUUGAGAGGUGCAGCACCGGCGAGUUCGACCUAUAGGAAAGCUUUGAAACCUUGUCGCUAGCAUUUGGAGGGCACGCCAAAGCCACUAUGUUGUGGGUGUAUCUUAACGACCUCUCACUACUGCAAAAACACAUUUCUACUACAUUGUUUCUAAGAAGAGCCAAGGAGGAAGAGGUUGAAAGGAAGCCUUGUGUGAAGGCUCUUCCUUUCAAGGUGAAAGCGAUGUCGAGAGGAUCAUCGUCGCAGAAAGCAAGGAGUGGAUUCUUCUAGAACUCAAUGUUUGAUUGUUUAAUUUGAUGCACCGAACACUAUGACCCUGUUCUGGUGUCUCAGGAAGUGUGCGUUGAAAUCUACAAAGGCGUCACCACUAGCCAGCUCAAUGAAUUGGUAGCGGAAACCACCGCGGCUAUGAUCGCCAACCACCCUGACUAUUCUUCUGUGAGGCUCUUCUCUUUUCUUGCGUUUUUUUGUGGUUCAUAUUAUGGCUUAAAGGCUAAUCUGUGUGGUUUUGUGUUUGGUGCAGUUGGCUGCGAGGACAAUUUUCCUCUAGCUCUCUCUUUCUUCUUAUUCUCGUCAUUGAAUAUCUAUUUCUUCUAGAGAGAUCUCGCAGAUUUUCUUGCUUUCACAUGAUCUUAGAAUGCACUAUUUUGAUCAACUGAUAAGAAACACAUUUUGAUAUAAUCAUAUCAACUUAUUAGAUUGCUAAGGAUGGUUACAGCUGAUUACUAAAAUUUUGCAAGCUUUGGUAUUAAUGUCGUUUCAAAUUUUUUGUCAUUUUUCUUUACUGCACUUGUUAGUUCUGAAAUUUCUUGAUUUUGGAUGUAAAUUGCUAGAUUAGGCAUACUGGAUUGUUCUUUCUUUUAGAAUGGGUGGAAUUGAGCAAUUAAUUAUUCUAGAUAAAACAUCCGUAGUUGAAUUAAUGACAUUUUGCCUCACGAAAUCUGUGAUUUUUUCCUUCUGCAGGUUUUUACAUUUUUGGAGUAGCUAAAUCAGAUGAGGCAAGGUGGUCUUUUGUUAAUUACUUCAACUUAGGUAAACGAAUCUGCCUUGGUGAAUCUGUCAAGAUUGAAGAAUAGAUUGCAAACUACUUGUCUUGGCAAAAAGGAUUUAAAAUGAGUUGGAACCCACACAUGGAGGUCCAUUACAAUACCAUUAGCUAUCCCUAUAAUACAACAGGAAGCUUUAUCGAAUAUUUUGAAAGUCUCACCUAUGAACAUGUCAACUUCAUUUUUUAUGGUGAAUCGCAUGCUCAGGCUACUAGAAAGAUUCAUAAUUCUAAAGUAAAGACAUAAAAUUCCAUUUAUAUAUGCUGGAGAGUUCAUACCCUUCAAAGUCAAGCUUUUACAAGUUUGGACUAUCUGAACCAGAGAAUACUUCACACUAUCGUUACGGUCAUGAUUAUGAGGUAAAUCAUCACGAACCUGUGGUGGAUGAGUAUAGGAGACCUUCUGAGAACUCAUUGACAAUCAAUGAAAAGUCUGCAGCAGUAAGCACAAAAUGGGUUAAAGGUGGAAACACUAACACACGAGACAAUUAUAUUGAAUGUAAGUUUGUGAUUUUCAUCCAACUGAAAAUAAUUACAAUAGUAAUAUCUGGCUGUUGAAAUGCAGUCUUGGGUAUAUAUGUAAUGUCCUAAAAAGUUCAUUUAUGCUCAAUUUAUACUGUUACACUUGAUUCUUUUCGUAAGCAUCAUAAUGUUUGAGAAACUAGUUGUUGUACUAAGUCGAUAAUUAAUUUAGUUAUCCCAA